This 253-nucleotide ribosomal RNA is filed under the name uncultured bacterium. Its description in RNAcentral is "partial 16S ribosomal RNA". It matches the Rfam family "Bacterial small subunit ribosomal RNA", at positions 524 to 776 of the family's 1533-position model. The record is from RNAcentral.
UACGUAGGGUGCAAGCGUUGUCCGGAAUUAUUGGGCGUAAAGAGCUCGUAGGCGGUUUGUUGCGUCGGCUGUGAAAUCCCGAGGCUCAACCUCGGGUCUGCAGUCGAUACGAGCAGACUAGAGUGUUGCAGGGGAUACUGGAAUUCCUGGUGUAGCGGUGAAAUGCGCAGAUAUCAGGAGGAACACCGGUGGCGAAGGCGGGUAUCUGGGCAACAACUGACGCUGAAGAGCGAAAGCGUGGGGAGCGAACAGG